CAGCAACUCUGGCCACGAUUUUUGCCUAAGUGGCUUUCGCUGUUGUUUGCGAGAGUUUUUGGCCGCGGUCGGGACAUCCCGGACCGUAGGGUGGGCAGUAUGGUGCGGAGCUGCGGGCAACGGUGGACCCUAGCCGCAAUUGACAAUUUUAAUUGGAGCUACGGACGGGUUCAUCCUUAUCGAUCCACGCAUGAUUCACUCGGAUCUUGACAGCCAUGACCAAGAGUUUAGUUCAAUUCCAACCUGUCGGUGAAUUGCCACUUUUAUCCACUGAUAAUGGAUUAUUCUUUAUGCGCACAUAAGACGAUAUAUUUUUUAAGGAAGAAUAUUGAACUGUGCAAACAUAUAUUAUCUGUAUUUCCCAAACGUAAGUGCUCAUUAAUGGGUUAAUACACCGAUAAUCGCAUGUUGAAGAUGAAAGGUGUUUGCCGCCGAGAAGGAGAUUAAAACACUUCACUCUUUUGUUUCAUUUGUAAGUAAUAAUUCUCAGGCACUUUAUUGAGAUUGUACGUAUCUAUAAGUACGAUGUGGUAAUCCUACAUUAGCUACAUAUUUUAAAAAAGUACCUAAAUCACUA
Long non-coding RNA from Drosophila simulans, 577 nucleotides. RefSeq lists it as uncharacterized. The transcript has 2 exons. Lineage: Eukaryota; Metazoa; Arthropoda; Insecta; Diptera; Drosophilidae. The record is from RefSeq and is a predicted model, not a curated record.